GAGAGGCGAGCAACGAGCGGGCGGCGACGGGGGACGACGGGGCGGAGAGAGGAGGAGGAGGCGACGGCGCAGAGGAUUCUCCGGCGCCGCCCGCCCUCCCGCACGCUCGCAGCUCGCAGCUCGUGGCGCCGUCCUCCCCCCGUCGCUGCCCGCCGCCCGCCGCUAUACCAUCCCAUUCUUGCCGCCCGGGAAGACACUCAGCCCAAUCCCAUGCGCCUGUACAGUUGUGCGGGAGGAGCAAGGGCCAAGAGCACGGCACCUGCCCCUCGGCAUCGGACACGCUGGCCUCCUCACUGCUCUCUCCUUCUUGUGCUUGUGCAGGCAGGAGGCUACAUUUGCUGCAAGCUAGAGAGAGCUAUUGUGCGUCGGAUUGGGAGCUCACAUGCCAUCAGGAAACUAGAUUUCUGUUUAACUUGUGUCCCAUGGUUAGAUAAAUGCAUGCGCCAAGUUUAGUAAUGACAAAGUGCUUCCAUCUUGCUAAAAAUAGUGAAAUAAAAUUAAUCGAAAAACUUUGGCACUGCCUACCCAAACUGACUCUUUAAUUUGAUCUUGGUACAUGAGUUCAAUUUUGGUGCCAACAAAUUGACUUGUUUUUCCAUGAACCCAUGCAUUUAAUUGAUGAUACUUACAAGUUGUCAUUUUACGAGUGAGAAUUGUUUGAACAGGUAUGAUAAUCAUAGGAGGUCCCAUCAAAGAAAAGUUUUUUUUUUCGAAUGUGGUAUUUACAUUCUGUUGCAACACACAAGUACUUGGCUAGUCAUAGAAGCAAACCAAAAGUUUUCUCUGGCGAUGACAAAGAUGCGCAAAACAUGAUCUGAGAACCAAAGGCUGCUCAUCACCCACUUGGCAUCUUGGGCAUGUCACAUUACAUACAGAAAUGCAUUGCCUUAAUCUUUCCUUUACAUGGUUUAAUUUUCUCCUCUUAAUCAUCUACAUGCUAAUGAUUAAUCACCCAAACUAUGUUGCGCCAUUAAGUAACAUCAUCAGCUCAGCUGCAGUCCACACAGAGCGAAGGCAGCAGCAGCAGUGCCUUUUAAUCAUCUAUACAUUGCAGCUGCAGGUGCAGCAGCCAUGGAGGAUGGAGGCAGCAGAGACUCUGAUCAUGGCGUGGAGACGUCGUCGCCGCCGAAGCUGUAGGGAGCGGAGCUGGAGCAGGUGGUGCUGGUGCUGCUGACCUUGGAGGCGUCGUACUCCUGGCUGAGGCAGCGCAGCCGGUUGAGCUCCGGCAAGAUCUCCUUCCCGAGGUCCGGCCGGUCCUUCUUCCUCAGCUCGGCGCACCGCAGCGCCAGCUUGGCGAACACCAAGGCCUCCUCCACCGGCCAGUCGGUCACCAUCGGGUCGAGCACCUCCUGGAAGGUCCCCCUCUCGAUGGCGCUCUCGACGUGGUGGGUGAGCCCCAUGGGCGACCUCGCCGUGAUGAUCUGCAGCAGCAGGAUCCCCAGUGAGUAGAUGUCGGACAUGGUGGUCAGCAUCCCGGUCUGCUGGUACUCCGGGUCGAUGUAGCAGAAGGUGCCCGCCGUCGAGGUCAUCCGGUACUGCGUGGCCUCGGCGGCGGCAGCGGACUGCGGGACGAGGCGGGCGAGGCCGACGUCGCUGAUCUUGCUGACGAAGUUGUGGUCGAGGAGGAUGUUGGCCGGCUUCAGGUCGCGGUGGACCAGCGGCUCGGGCUUCGCCUGGUGGAGGAAGAGGAGGCCGGUGGCGAUGUCGGCGGCGAUGCGGAACCGGAUGUUCCAGGGGAUCGGCAGCGUCUUCCCCCGCCGGCACAGCCGGUCCUCCAGGCUGCCGUAGUCCAUGUACUCGUACACCAGGCACCCGUACUCCGGGCAUGCUCCCAGCAGCAGC
RNAcentral lists this long non-coding RNA (1842 nucleotides) under Oryza sativa Indica Group (long-grained rice). Its description in RNAcentral is "lncRNA OsMH63_02G009120". The record is from RNAcentral. Lineage: Eukaryota; Viridiplantae; Streptophyta; Magnoliopsida; Poales; Poaceae.